This 479-nucleotide long non-coding RNA is filed under the name Gallus gallus (chicken). RNAcentral describes it as "lncRNA (ENSGALG00010020893.1)". The record is from RNAcentral. Lineage: Eukaryota; Metazoa; Chordata; Aves; Galliformes; Phasianidae.
CGAUGUGGUCCCGCACCACUUCCUUCCCUCUGACUCAGAGGGAGGUGGGUGCAAAGGAUGGGCUGUGGGGUGGACGUUCAACAAAGCCAAGGGGGUGCGUUCAGAGGGGGAGUUGAUCUGGAUAGGUUGGAUAGCCGGGCUGAAGCCAAUGGGAUGGGAUUCAACAAGACCAACUGCCGGGUCCUGCACUUUGGCCGCAAUAAGCCCAGGCAACGCUACAGGCUUGGGGCAGAGUGGCUGGAAGGCUGUGUAGAGGAAAUGGAGCUGGGGGUGUUGACUGACACUAGGCUGAACAUGAGCCAGCAGUGUGCCCAGGUGGCCAAGAAGGCCAAUGGCAUCCUGGCUUGUAUCAGAAACAGUGUGGCCAGCAGGAACAGGGAAGUGAUUGUCCCCCUGUACUCAGCACUGGUGAGGCCGCACCUCGAGUGCUGUGUCCAGUUUUGGGCCCCUCACUGUAAGAAAGACAUGGAGGCCCUGCA